Molecule: ribosomal RNA, 347 nt
Filed under: Belone belone
Lineage: Eukaryota; Metazoa; Chordata; Actinopteri; Beloniformes; Belonidae
Description: partial 12S ribosomal RNA
Rfam family: Bacterial small subunit ribosomal RNA
Source: RNAcentral
GAUAGAACUUUACACUUUCUAUCCGCCUGGGUACUACAAGCCCCAGCUUAAAAUCCAAAGGACUUGGCGGUGCUUUAGACCCCACCUAGAGGAGCCUGUCCUAGAACCGACAACCCCCGUUCAACCUCACCCUCCCUUGUUUAUCCCGCCUAUAUACCGCCGUCGUCAGCUUACCCUGUGAAGGACUAAUAGUAAGCAGAGUCAGUAUACUCAAAACGCCAGGUCGAGGUGUAGCGCAUGAGAGGGGAAGAGAUGGGCUACACUCCCUAAAUAAGGGAAUACGAAAAAUACAGUGAAAUAUUGUAUUAGAAGGAGGAUUUAGCAGUAAGAAGAAAACAGAGUGUUCU